This 443-nucleotide ribosomal RNA is filed under the name uncultured bacterium. RNAcentral describes it as "partial 16S ribosomal RNA". It matches the Rfam family "Bacterial small subunit ribosomal RNA", at positions 338 to 795 of the family's 1533-position model. The record is from RNAcentral.
CCUACGGGGGGCAGCAGUGGGGAAUAUUGGACAAUGGGGGGAACCCUGAUCCAGCGACGCCGCGUGAGUGAAGAAGUAUUUCGGUAUGUAAAGCUCUAUCAGCAGGGAAGAAAGAAAUGACGGUACCUGACUAAGAAGCCCCGGCUAACUACGUGCCAGCAGCCGCGGUAAUACGUAGGGGGCAAGCGUUAUCCGGAUUUACUGGGUGUAAAGGGAGCGUAGACGGCGAUGCAAGUCUGAAGUGAAAGGCGGGGGCGCAACCUCCGGACUGCUUUGGAAACUGUAUGGCUGGAGUGCAGGAGAGGUAAGUGGAAUUCGUAGUGUAGCGGUGAAAUGCGUAGAUAUUAGGAGGAACACCAGUGGCGAAGGCGGCUUACUGGACUGUAACUGACGUUGAGGCUCGAAAGCGUGGGGAGCAAACAGGAUUAGAUACCCUGGUAGUC